CAGUCGCCACGGUAAAACGAAGGGUGCAAGCGUUACUCGGAAUUACUGGGCGUAAAGCGUGCGUAGGUGGUGGUUUAAGUCCGUUGUGAAAGCCCUGGGCUCAACCUGGGAAUUGCAGUGGAUACUGGGUCACUAGAGUGUGGUAGAGGAUAGUGGAAUUUCCGGUGUAGCAGUGAAAUGCGUAGAGAUGGAAGGAACAUCUGUGGCGAAGGCGACUAUCUGGGCCAACACUGACACUGAGGCACGAAAGCGUGGGGAGCAAACAGGAUUAGAUACCCCCGUAGUCCCUGUCUCUUAUACA
This 301-nucleotide ribosomal RNA is filed under the name uncultured bacterium. Its description in RNAcentral is "partial 16S ribosomal RNA". It matches the Rfam family "Bacterial small subunit ribosomal RNA", at positions 509 to 808 of the family's 1533-position model. The record is from RNAcentral.